Molecule: long non-coding RNA, 777 nt
Filed under: Sorghum bicolor (sorghum)
Lineage: Eukaryota; Viridiplantae; Streptophyta; Magnoliopsida; Poales; Poaceae
Description: long non-coding RNA (SBIC_LNC011330)
Source: RNAcentral
CCUUAACCCUACCCACUCUUCCGCCGCAUCCAGCCUACCCCACAUGUUAUCUACCCAAAAUUUCCCCAAUACAGGCAGGAUUGAUCAACCAACCAUCAUCUGCUACACCUAUGGCGCUAUCUAAGAGAUAGAUGAUGGUGUCGCUCGUCAUCGUCUCCCACGAUUACUAUCGUCUUCCACGAUUACUAUCGUCUUCUUCACUUGCUAUGGUGAGUCUUCCGCCUCUAGAAUCAAUAUUUUUUUUGGAAAGCGCCGUUUGGUGUGGCCUUCAUAGGAGGCUAGGUGCGGGACGUGGGAUCGAACCCCCACCAAGUGACUCCUCCCUUGGAGCCUUCACCACUGGUCCAAGCACAUCUAGAUCUGAUCUAUUGUUUUCCCAUAGUCCUUUAAUUUCUGUGUACUCCACCAGAUCAAAGCUAGAAACGCCAUAUCUUCCUUAUUUGGAAAAUAAAUCUUGCGGUAGAGAAAUAGGAACAUCUUAAUUUCAAUAAAUUGUGUAUGCUAACAAAUUUCUCUUUCCAUCUGAUAUCUGUAGGGGAUUUGUGCAUGUAUAAAAGUUUGAAACAUGUGGAGGACAUAGAAGUCGCUAGAUAUAAAGUUAUUAGAGCUACAUACACUGCAAGAGGGCAUCUUUCAAGUAUUUAGAACCUGGCUCAACUUAUGAAUGGACGCCAGACAAGGUAUUUAGGUGGGGUGCAUGUCAUAAAGUGUGUAAAUUUUGGAGAACAUGAAUGCUAGAAGUCAGAUUUGAAGAUAAUAAUGGGGCUGCAUACCUUG